This 403-nucleotide ribosomal RNA is filed under the name uncultured bacterium. RNAcentral's name for it is "partial 16S ribosomal RNA". It matches the Rfam family "Bacterial small subunit ribosomal RNA", at positions 30 to 526 of the family's 1533-position model. The record is from RNAcentral.
AUCGAACGCUGGCGGCAGGCCUAACACAUGCAAGUCGAGCGAGCGGCGGACGGGUGAGUAAUGUAUGGGGACUGCCCGAUAGCGGGGGAUAACUACUGGAAACGGCGGCUAAUACGGCAUACUGUCGGAUAACCCAUAUGGGAUUAGAUAGUAGGUAAGGUAAUGGCUUACCUAGGCGACGAUCCCUAGCUGGUCUGAGAGGGUGAUCAGCCACACUGGGACUGAGACACGGCCCAGACUCCUACGGAGGCAGCAGUGGGGAAUAUUGGACAAUGGGCGCAAGCCUGAUGCAGCCAUGCCGCGUGUAUGAAGAAGGCCCUAGGGUUGUAAAGUACUGUCAUUCGGGAGGCGUUACCGAAAGAAAAAGCACCGGCUAACUCCGUGCCAGCAGCCGCGGUAAUAC